AGAGAGAGACAUGCGCGCAUAUCAAUAAGCGGAGGAAAAGAAACUAACAAGGAUUCCCUUAGUAACGGCGAGUGAAGCGGGAAGAGCUCAAAUUUGAAAUCUUCAAGGUUCUACCUUGACGAAUUGUAGUUUAUAGAAGUGUUUUCUGUAGUGGAGUUCGGUAAAAGUUCUUUGGAAUAGGACAUCAUAGAGGGUGAGAAUCCCGUAUUUGGUCAUUCCUCCUAGCGUUGUGAUACACUUUCAACGAGUCGGAUUGUUUGGGAAUGCAGUCCAAAAUGGGUGGUAAAUUUCAUCUAAAGCUAAAUAUUGGCGAGAGACCGAUAGCGAACAAGUACCGUGAGGGAAAGAUGAAAAGAACUUUGAAAAGAGAGUUAAACAGUACGUGAAAUUGUCAAAAGGGAAGCGUUUGACACCAGUGUUGUUUUUCCGAAAAUCAAUUACGAAUGUUUUAUUUUUGAGGAGUUAAUGACUUCAUCGGCUUGCUCCUUUCUUUACGAAACUUUCUUAAUGCACUUUUCGGUUAACAAGUCAACAUCAAUUUCUUUUGUUGUAAAAGGGUAUGAGGAAGGUGGCUUUCUUUUCGGAGAAAGUGUUUAUAGCCUUGUAGCCUCUGCAAUCGGAGAGAUUGAGGUCUGCAGCGUAGAUCCUUCGGGGUUAGAUACAGUUUGUGCUAAGUUAUAGCUUUUCAUAGACGACUUGUUGACUAUGUUUAGUCUUGUAGCUUACUCGCUGAUGCUAUUUUACCUACGCUUAGGAUGUUGAUAGUCACAGCGUGUAC
This 778-nucleotide ribosomal RNA is filed under the name uncultured Neocallimastigales. RNAcentral describes it as "partial large subunit ribosomal RNA". It matches the Rfam family "Eukaryotic large subunit ribosomal RNA", at positions 23 to 644 of the family's 3401-position model. Lineage: Eukaryota; Fungi; Neocallimastigomycota; Neocallimastigomycetes; Neocallimastigales. The record is from RNAcentral.